Molecule: transfer RNA, 64 nt
Filed under: Paederus fuscipes
Lineage: Eukaryota; Metazoa; Arthropoda; Insecta; Coleoptera; Staphylinidae
Description: tRNA-Val
Source: RNAcentral
CAAAUUAGAGCUGGUAGCAUUUUAUUUACAUUAAAAAGGUAGUUGUUUAAUCAAUUUAAUUUGA